AUGAAGCCCCGUCUCGGCCCCGCGCCGGCGCAGGAAGAAGCCUCGGGCCCCGCGUCGCUCCUGGCCCCGCGCUGGUGGGGAUGGUCCGAUCAUCCCGGUGGCUUUUCCUUAAAACAGCUGAAUUUGCCCAGGAACCGGCCAAGGGAUUGGUCUGCCGGUGGUGCGGGGAAGCACCGACCUGAGUCCACCUGCGCAUCCCACGUGGAUGCUGGUUAUCCCGAAGUCGCUGCCGGAGAGCGGGCGUCGUGUUUUGCUGCCUUUCGAGAGACUCCUCCGUCCCGCGGGCGCUCGCUGCCGGGAGCCGCCUUGGCCGAGCGCUGGGGCCGGGACCGAGCGCGGCCGGCGCCGCCGCGGGAAGAUCCACCAGGGUUUUCCCGGCUGCCGGUGGGGCGCUUGGAGGAGCGGCGGGCAGAAACGGCGGGUCGGCUCUCAAACGCGCCCAGCGGCUCCCACGCGAGGGGCUCGGCCCCCCCGGGACGGGAACCCCCGGCGGCGCCCUGCUGCCCCAGCACCGUUUUCGGUGACCAGGCGGGUUCGGGAGCGGAAGGCAGUUGCGUCGGCCGCGCUCGGCGUCGCCUGCGUGCGCUGCACGGGGCGCRCGGGCUCCGCGAGCGGCUGCAGCCGGGCGCCUCCGGGGACGGAGGGAGGCUCCGGUGCCUCUGCCCACUCCUCGGCCGGGGUUUGGGGGUUCAGCCGGGGGCCCAAUGCUGCAGGCGCCCGGCUGCACUCUGGCCCGCGGCCGGCGGGGUUCAGGCCCAGGUGCUGCCCAGCCCCGCUGCUGGAAACGGCGCCGCUGCUGCUCCGGCGACUUGUGAUUCCCAGGGCCACGUGGCUGCCGGUGCUGGCCGGGGACACUGGGACCUGCUCCCGAGGGAGGAGGAGGAUGGCGGGUCCCCCCGUGCCUCAGUUUCCCACCCCGCUGCCGCUCUCCUUGCGCGGGCGCUGCCGCGGAGCAGCGUGGUUCCCGGCACGCUCACGCACGGCAUCGCAGGGGCCGUCAGCCCCCUCCCGCCGCUGCCGCCCUCAGCAGCCCCUUGCCUCUUUCCCGCAGGUCGUCUCUCAGCAGCCGGCGCCACGUCGCCUCCCACCUGGCUCGGUGAGUGUGGACGGCCCCAGCCUGGCCGCGGGUCUGCAYGGGUGGCGAGGGGGCUCCGGCGUCCGGGAAGGCCGCGGUGCAAGUGUGUGAGCAUGCACGCAUGUGUGCAGGCAUGCAUGAGCAUGCAUGCAGGUGUGGGUGCACAUAUGCAUGCGUGCGCAUGUGUGUGA
This 1266-nucleotide long non-coding RNA is filed under the name Apteryx haastii (Great spotted kiwi). RNAcentral's name for it is "lncRNA (ENSAHAG00000002205.1)". The record is from RNAcentral. Lineage: Eukaryota; Metazoa; Chordata; Aves; Apterygiformes; Apterygidae.